AUUGAACGCUGGCGGAAUGCUUUACACAUGCAAGUCGAGCGGCAGCGCGGCCUUCGGGCUGGCGGCGAGCGGCGAACGGGUGAGUAAUGCAUCGGAACAUGCCCAGUCGUGGGGGAUAACACUUCGAAAGAAGUGCUAAUACCGCAUACGCCCUGAGGGGGAAAGCGGGGGAUCGCAAGACCUCGCGCGAUUGGAGUGGCCGAUGUCAGAUUAGCUAGUUGGUGGGGUAAAGGCCUACCAAGGCGACGAUCUGUAGCUGGUCUGAGAGGAUGAUCAGCCACACUGGGACUGAGACACGGCCCAGACUCCUACGGGAGGCAGCAGUGGGGAAUUUUGGACAAUGGGGGCAACCCUGAUCCAGCCAUUCCGCGUGAGUGAAGAAGGCCUUCGGGUUGUAAAGCUCUUUCGGCAGGAACGAAACGGUGGGCUCUAACAUAGUCCGCUAAUGACGGUACCUGAAGAAGAAGCACCGGCUAACUACGUG
Molecule: ribosomal RNA, 484 nt
Filed under: uncultured bacterium
Lineage: Bacteria
Description: partial 16S ribosomal RNA
Rfam family: Bacterial small subunit ribosomal RNA
Source: RNAcentral